Solanum pennellii is the source of this 255-nucleotide long non-coding RNA. RefSeq lists it as uncharacterized. The transcript is spliced from 3 exons. NCBI's taxonomy places the organism in Eukaryota, Viridiplantae, Streptophyta, Magnoliopsida, Solanales, Solanaceae. The record is from RefSeq and is a predicted model, not a curated record.
UUCCAAAAUCACAAUGGGUUUGAUGUACCAGAUCAACUGAUUGAGGAGUUCAAUAAAUGGAUUUUCAAAGAUGUGUCGAGCAGACGUGGCAGAAAAGCAGCAUAUUCCAAGAUUAAAAACACAUUUCAUCCUCAAAUGGACUUUGGCGUUGUCAAAAUCGGAGAUAAAGAUUUUUUUCACAUAAUGAGUCAACCGGGCAGACCUUGGGAGGACGGGCAUAUUAAUACAAUAAUGUAUUAUCUCCGAAAGAAGGCA